This 253-nucleotide ribosomal RNA is filed under the name uncultured bacterium. RNAcentral's name for it is "partial 16S ribosomal RNA". It matches the Rfam family "Bacterial small subunit ribosomal RNA", at positions 524 to 776 of the family's 1533-position model. The record is from RNAcentral.
UACGUAGGGUGCAAGCGUUAAUCGGAAUUACUGGGCGUAAAGCGUGCGCAGGCGGUGAUGUAAGACAGUUGUGAAAUCCCCGGGCUCAACCUGGGAACUGCAUCUGUGACUGCAUUGCUGGGGUGCGGCAGAGGGGGAUGGAAUUCCGCGUGUAGCAGUGAAAUGCGUAGAUAUGCGGAGGAACACCGAUGGCGAAGGCAAUCCCCUGGGCCUGCACUGACGCUCAUGCACGAAAGCGUGGGGAGCAAACAGG